AGUGAACGCUGGCGGUAGGCCUAACACAUGCAAGUCGAACGGCAGCACCGUAAGAGCUUGCUCUUACGGGUGGCGAGUGGCGGACGGGUGAGGAAUACAUCGGAAUCUACUUUUUCGUGGGGGAUAACGUAGGGAAACUUACGCUAAUACCGCAUACGACCUACGGGUGAAAGCAGGGGAUCUUCGGACCUUGCGCGAUUGAAUGAGCCGAUGUCGGAUUAGCUAGUUGGCGGGGUAAAGGCCCACCAAGGCGACGAUCCGUAGCUGGUCUGAGAGGAUGAUCAGCCACACUGGAACUGAGACACGGUCCAGACUCCUACGGGAGGCAGCAGUGGGGAAUAUUGGACAAUGGGCGCAAGCCUGAUCCAGCCAUACCGCGUGGGUGAAGAAGGCCUUCGGGUUGUAAAGCCCUUUUGUUGGGAAAGAAAAGCAGCAGGUUAAGACCCCGCUGUUCUGACGGUACCCAAUGAAUAAGCACCGGCUAACUUCGUG
RNAcentral lists this ribosomal RNA (492 nucleotides) under uncultured bacterium. RNAcentral describes it as "partial 16S ribosomal RNA". It matches the Rfam family "Bacterial small subunit ribosomal RNA", at positions 29 to 507 of the family's 1533-position model. The record is from RNAcentral.